RNAcentral lists this ribosomal RNA (515 nucleotides) under uncultured bacterium. Its description in RNAcentral is "partial 16S ribosomal RNA". It matches the Rfam family "Bacterial small subunit ribosomal RNA", at positions 355 to 859 of the family's 1533-position model. The record is from RNAcentral.
UGGGGAAUAUUGCACAAUGGGCGCAAGCCUGAUGCAGCCAUGCCGCGUGUGUGAAGAAGGCCUUCGGGUUGUAAAGCACUUUCAGCGAGGAGGAAGGUGGUGAGCUUAAUACGCUCAUCAAUUGACGUUACUCGCAGAAGAAGCACCGGCUAACUCCGUGCCAGCAGCCGCGGUAAUACGGAGGGUGCAAGCGUUAAUCGGAAUUACUGGGCGUAAAGCGCACGCAGGCGGUUUGUUAAGUCAGAUGUGAAAUCCCCGGGCUCAACCUGGGAACUGCAUUUGAAACUGGCAAGCUAGAGUCUCGUAGAGGGGGGUAGAAUUCCAGGUGUAGCGGUGAAAUGCGUAGAGAUCUGGAGGAAUACCGGUGGCGAAGGCGGCCCCCCUGGACGAAGACUGACGCUCAGGUGCGAAAGCGUGGGGCAGCAAACAGGAUUAGAUACCCUGGUAGUCCACGCUGUAAACGAUGUCGACUUUGGAGGUUGUGCCCUUGAGGCGUGGCUUCCGGAGCUAACGCG